UGGGGAAUUUUGCGCAAUGGGCGAAAGCCUGACGCAGCGACGCCGCGUGUGCGAUGAAGGCCUUUGGGUCGUAAAGCACUGUCAAGAGGGAAGAAAACUGGCGGGCGAAUAACUCGUUGGAAUGACGGUACCUCUAAAGGAAGCACCGGCUAACUCUGUGCCAGCAGCCGCGGUAAUACAGAGGGUGCAAACGUUGUUCGGAAUUACUGGGCGUAAAGAGCGUGUAGGCGGCUAGUUAAGUCGGCUGUGAAAGCCCAUGGCUCAACCAUGGAAGUGCAGUCGAUACUGGUUAGCUGGAGUCCUGGAGAGGGUGGUGGAAUUCCCAGUGUAGAGGUGAAAUUCGUAGAUAUUGGGAGGAACACCAGUGGCGAAGGCGACCACCUGGACAGGUACUGACGCUGAGACGCGAAAGCGUGGGGAGCAAACA
Molecule: ribosomal RNA, 427 nt
Filed under: uncultured bacterium
Lineage: Bacteria
Description: bacterial SSU rRNA
Rfam family: Bacterial small subunit ribosomal RNA
Source: RNAcentral